Molecule: ribosomal RNA, 1954 nt
Filed under: Staphylococcus epidermidis
Lineage: Bacteria; Bacillati; Bacillota; Bacilli; Caryophanales; Staphylococcaceae
Description: partial 23S ribosomal RNA
Rfam family: Bacterial large subunit ribosomal RNA
Source: RNAcentral
AUCCUGAGUACGACGGAGCACGUGAAAUUCCGUCGGAAUCUGGGAGGACCAUCUCCUAAGGCUAAAUACUCUCUAGUGACCGAUAGUGAACCAGUACCGUGAGGGAAAGGUGAAAAGUACCCCGGAAGGGGAGUGAAAGAGAACUUGAAACCGUGUGCUUACAAGUAGUCAGAGCCCGUUAAUGGGUGAUGGCGUGCCUUUUGUAGAAUGAACCGGCGAGUUACGAUUUGAUGCAAGGUUAAGCAGCUAAUGUGGAGCCGUAGCGAAAGCGAGUCUGAAUAGGGCGUUUAGUAUUUGGUCGUAGACCCGAAACCAGGUGAUCUACCCUUGGUCAGGUUGAAGUUCAGGUAACACUGAAUGGAGGACCGAACCGACUUACGUUGAAAAGUGAGCGGAUGAACUGAGGGUAGCGGAGAAAUUCCAAUCGAACUUGGAGAUAGCUGGUUCUCUCCGAAAUAGCUUUAGGGCUAGCCUCAAGUGAUGAUUAUUGGAGGUAGAGCACUGUUUGGACGAGGGGCCCUUCUCGGGUUACCGAAUUCAGACAAACUCCGAAUGCCAAUCAAUUUAACUUGGGAGUCAGAACAUGGGUGAUAAGGUCCGUGUUCGAAAGGGAAACAGCCCAGACCACCAGCUAAGGUCCCAAAAUAUAUGUUAAGUGGAAAAGGAUGUGGCGUUGCCCAGACAACUAGGAUGUUGGCUUAGAAGCAGCCAUCAUUUAAAGAGUGCGUAAUAGCUCACUAGUCGAGUGACACUGCGCCGAAAAUGUACCGGGGCUAAACAUAUUACCGAAGCUGUGGAUUGUCCGUAGGACAAUGGUAGGAGAGCGUUCUAAGGGCGUCGAAGCAUGAUCGCAAGGACAUGUGGAGCGCUUAGAAGUGAGAAUGCCGGUGUGAGUAGCGAAAGACGGGUGAGAAUCCCGUCCACCGAUUGACUAAGGUUUCCAGAGGAAGGCUCGUCCGCUCUGGGUUAGUCGGGUCCUAAGCUGAGGCCGACAGGCGUAGGCGAUGGAUAACAGGUUGAUAUUCCUGUACCACCUAGUAUCGUUUUAAUCGAUGGGGGGACGCAGUAGGAUAGGCGAAGCGUGCUAUUGGAUUGCACGUCCAAGCAGUAAGACUGAGUGUUAGGCAAAUCCGGCACUCAUAAGGUCAAGCUGUGAUGGGGAGAGGAAAUUGUUUCCUCGAGUCGUUGAUUUCACACUGCCAAGAAAAGCCUCUAGAUAGAUAACAGGUGCCCGUACCGCAAACCGACACAGGUAGUCAAGAUGAGAAUUCUAAGGUGAGCGAGCGAACUCUCGUUAAGGAACUCGGCAAAAUGACCCCGUAACUUCGGGAGAAGGGGUGCUCUUUAGGGUUAACGCCCAGAAGAGCCGCAGUGAAUAGGCCCAAGCGACUGUUUAUCAAAAACACAGGUCUCUGCUAAACCGUAAGGUGAUGUAUAGGGGCUGACGCCUGCCCGGUGCUGGAAGGUUAAGAGGAGUAGUUAGCUUCUGCGAAGCUACGAAUCGAAGCCCCAGUAAACGGCGGCCGUAACUAUAACGGUCCUAAGGUAGCGAAAUUCCUUGUCGGGUAAGUUCCGACCCGCACGAAAGGCGUAACGAUUUGGGCACUGUCUCAACGAGAGACUCGGUGAAAUCAUAGUACCUGUGAAGAUGCAGGUUACCCGCGACAGGACGGAAAGACCCCGUGGAGCUUUACUGUAGCCUGAUAUUGAAAUUCGGCACAGCUUGUACAGGAUAGGUAGGAGCCUUUGAAACGUGAGCGCUAGCUUACGUGGAGGCAUUGGUGGGAUACUACCCUAGCUGUGUUGGCUUUCUAACCCGCACCACUUAUCGUGGUGGGAGACAGUGUCAGGUGGGCAGUUUGACUGGGGCGGUCGCCUCCUAAAAGGUAACGGAGGCGCUCAAAGGUUCCCUCAGAAUGGUUGGAAAUCAUUCAUAGAGUGUAAAGGCAUAAGG